UGGCUCAGGAUGAACGCUAGCGGCAGGCUUAACACAUGCAAGUCGAGGGGUAGAGUUCUUCGGAGCUUGAGACCGGCGCACGGGUGCGUAACGCGUAUGCAAUCUACCUUUUACAGAGGGAUAGCCCAGAGAAAUUUGGAUUAAUACCUCAUAGUAUAAUUGAAUGGCAUCAUUUAAUUAUUAAAGUCACAACGGUAAAAGAUGAGCAUGCGUCCCAUUAGCUAGUUGGUAAGGUAACGGCUUACCAAGGCUACGAUGGGUAGGGGUCCUGAGAGGGAGAUCCCCCACACUGGUACUGAGACACGGACCAGACUCCUACGGGAGGCAGCAGUGAGGAAUAUUGGACAAUGGGCGCAAGCCUGAUCCAGCCAUGCCGCGUGCAGGAUGACGGUCCUAUGGAUUGUAAACUGCUUUUGUACAGGAAGAAACACUGGUUCGUGAACCAGCUUGACGGUACUGUAAG
RNAcentral lists this ribosomal RNA (463 nucleotides) under Flavobacterium sp. WB4.3-4. Its description in RNAcentral is "bacterial SSU rRNA". It matches the Rfam family "Bacterial small subunit ribosomal RNA", at positions 20 to 484 of the family's 1533-position model. The record is from RNAcentral. Lineage: Bacteria; Pseudomonadati; Bacteroidota; Flavobacteriia; Flavobacteriales; Flavobacteriaceae.